Molecule: ribosomal RNA, 484 nt
Filed under: uncultured bacterium
Lineage: Bacteria
Description: partial 16S ribosomal RNA
Rfam family: Bacterial small subunit ribosomal RNA
Source: RNAcentral
ACUCAAAUGAAUUGACGGGGACCCACACAAGCGGUGGAGCAUGGGGUUUAAUUCGAUAGUAAGCGAAGAACCUUACCUAGGCUUGACAUGUCAGGAACCCCCCGGAAACGGGGGGGUGCCGCAAGGAACCUGAACACAGGCGCUGCACGGUUGUCGUCAGCUCGUGCCUUGAGGUGUACUGUUAAGUCAGCGAACGAGCGCAACCCUCAUCCUAUGUUGAUUUUUCAUGGGAGACUGCCGCCUCCAAGGCGGAGGAAGGUGGGGACGACGUCAAAUCAGCGUGGCCCUUAUGCCUAGGGCGACACCCGUGCUACAAUGGCCGAUACAGAGGGCAGCGAACGCGCAAGCGGGAGCUAAUCCCACAAAGUCGGCCUCAGUUCGGAUUGUAGUCUGCAACUCGACUGCAUGAAGUUGGAAUCGCUAGUAACCGUGAAUCAGCCACGUCACGGUGAAUAUGUUCCUGGGUCUUGUACACACCGCCCGU